RNAcentral lists this long non-coding RNA (738 nucleotides) under Mytilus galloprovincialis (Mediterranean mussel). The record is from RNAcentral. Lineage: Eukaryota; Metazoa; Mollusca; Bivalvia; Mytilida; Mytilidae.
UGUUAAAUGCAAUGUUUUAUAUGUAUAUUGGAAUGUAUAAUAUUAUACAAGUGAUGAAUCUUUAAUAUAAUAUUGAAUCAUAUAAAAGAAGACCAACUGUCUCAUGAGAACACUUUGUGCUCUCCUUAAAUGGUCUAAAAACUAGGUUUCACUGUACUGAUUAUUGAUGUAUGUCGUGCUAAUAUUGUGUGAUUAUCUGAAUGCUGAAGGAUGACCAUUAAUUAUGGAUUAUAUUUUGUAUAACUUCUAUCUUUUACAAUAUAUAACAAAAGGAUAAAACAAAAAUAACCUAUUUAUAUAUUGAAUACAAAAACAUAACAUUGUAAAUAUGACUGACAGACUAAUAAAAAUGAACAUUUCAAUCUGCAAAAUAAAAAUAAACAAUAAAAAAAAUCACAACAAAAAUAUCACAGUGAAGAAAAUAGGAUUUCACCUUGACCUUAAACUUUGUUCGUGUCUUGUUUUAGACUGAUAUUUAUCCUUCUCUUAUCAGUGGUGUAUCCAGAAAUUAUCAUAAGGGGUGCCCACUAACUGCCUAAGAGGGGACCCACUCUAGUCAUGUUCCAUUGAUUCCCUAAAUAAUCAACCAAAUUUUUCCCACAAAGGGGGGUGGUUGGGUACCUCUGGAAAACCCAAUAAAUCCCCCUCUUCUUAUCAAGUGGCAUUUGUCUGGUACAUAUCAUUCUUGUAUUCUUUCUUAAUUUAACUCCUCCUACAUAACUUGAAUGGUUUCAUGGC